RNAcentral lists this ribosomal RNA (260 nucleotides) under uncultured Glomeromycotina. RNAcentral describes it as "partial 18S ribosomal RNA". It matches the Rfam family "Eukaryotic small subunit ribosomal RNA", at positions 624 to 886 of the family's 1831-position model. The record is from RNAcentral. Lineage: Eukaryota; Fungi; Glomeromycota.
AAGCUCGUAGUUGAAUUUCGGGGUCUACCCAUUGGUCAGGCUUAAUUGUCUGCACUGGUGAGAUGGAUCUCUACCUUCUGAGGAACUUUCAUGCCAUUUAUUUGGUGUGAUGGGAAAUCAGGACUGUUACUUUGAAAAAAUUAGAGCGUUUAAAGCAGACUAUCGUCUGAAUACAUUAGCAUGGAAUAAUGAAAUAGGACGGACUGAUUCUAUUUCGUUGGUUUCUAGGAUCACCGUAAUGAUUAAUAGGGAUAGUUGGG